Molecule: ribosomal RNA, 917 nt
Filed under: uncultured Chlorophyceae
Lineage: Eukaryota; Viridiplantae; Chlorophyta; Chlorophyceae
Description: SSU rRNA
Rfam family: Eukaryotic small subunit ribosomal RNA
Source: RNAcentral
AAGGCUCGUAGUCGGAAUUCAGCGUGUCCUCGAUGGUCCGCCUCUGGUGUGCACUGUCGAUGGAUAUGCUCUCUGUCGGGGACGGGUUCCUGGGCUUAACUGUCUGGGACUCGGGCUCGACGUGGUUACUUUGAGUAAAUUAGAGUGUUCAAAGCAGGCGAUCGCCCUGAAUACAUUAGCAUGGAAUAGCAUGAUAGGACUCUGGCCUAUCUUGCUGGUCUGUAGGACCGGAGUAAUGAUUAAGAGGGACAGUCGGGGGCAUUCGUAUUUCGUAGUCAGAGGUGAAAUUCUUGGAUUUACGAAAGACGAACAUCUGCGAAAGCAUUUGCCAAGGAUGUUUUCAUUGAUCAAGAACGAAAGUUGGGGGCUCGAAGACGAUUAGAUACCGUCGUAGUCUCAACCAUAAACGAUGCCGACCAGGGAUUGGCGAGCGUUCUUUUGAUGACCUCGCCAGCACCUUGAGAGAAAUCAGAGUCUUUGGGUUCCGGGGGGAGUAUGGUCGCAAGGCUGAAACUUAAAGGAAUUGACGGAAGGGCACCACCAGGCGUGGAGCCUGCGGCUUAAUUUGACUCAACACGGGAAAUCUUACCAGGUCCAGACACGGGAAUGAUGAACAGAUUGAGAGCUCUUUUUUGAUUCUGUGGGUGGUGGUGCAUGGCCGUUCUUAGUUGGUGGGUUGCCUUGUCAGGUUGAUUCCGGUAACGAACGAGACCUCAGCCUACUAAAUAAUCGGUGGUCCUCCUUGGAUCAUCUCGGUUUCUUAGAGGGACUAUCGACGUUUAGUCAAUGGAAGUGUGAGCAAUAACAGGUCUGUGAUGCCCUUAGAUGUCCUGGGCCGCACGCGCGCUACACUGAUGCAUUCAACGAGCCUAUCCUUGGNGAGAGGCCCGGGUAAUCUGNAACUGCAUCGUGAUGGG